UACGUAGGCUGUCUUGUAGGUGAGGUGUGAAAUCCCACGGCUCAACCGUGGAACUGCGCUUCAAACCACAAGACUUGAGGGAGACAGGGGUAAGCGGAACUGAUGGUGGAGCGGUGAAAUGCGUUGAUAUCAUCAGGAACACCGGUGGCGAAGGCGGCUUACUGGGUCUCUUCUGACGCUGAGGUACGAAAGCUAGGGUAGCGAACAGGAUUAGAUACCCUGGUAGUCC
RNAcentral lists this ribosomal RNA (229 nucleotides) under uncultured bacterium. RNAcentral describes it as "partial 16S ribosomal RNA". It matches the Rfam family "Bacterial small subunit ribosomal RNA", at positions 568 to 796 of the family's 1533-position model. The record is from RNAcentral.